ACACUGCUGAGGAGUCCCACAAUAGGACGAAACGCCCGUCCAGUGC
RNAcentral lists this non-coding RNA (46 nucleotides) under Schistosoma mansoni. Lineage: Eukaryota; Metazoa; Platyhelminthes; Trematoda; Strigeidida; Schistosomatidae. RNAcentral also lists the same sequence under 1 other name. The record is from RNAcentral.